Molecule: microRNA, 22 nt
Filed under: Brassica rapa (field mustard)
Lineage: Eukaryota; Viridiplantae; Streptophyta; Magnoliopsida; Brassicales; Brassicaceae
Description: bra-miR9561-3p
Source: miRBase by way of RNAcentral
GAGAGACUCUGAAAGACUCACC